UUCGUAUUGAAGUCAUUUGCCUCGCUAAUCUAUCAUUCGAGUUAUCUCUCCCCCUUUUAACGGAAGCUGAUUAAAAGCAGAGAGAGAGAGAGAGAGCAAACCAAUCCCGGCACCAAUCAACCUAAUUACCUCCGACUCCGACUCUGGGUCUCUCAUACUUGUUUUCCGGAUGGUUUUGAUUAUUGUCAUUCAGUUUGAUUUUGGAUGGUUUGGCAGCUGUGUUGGUAAGUCGAUGACGGCAAUUUGUAGGCGGCAAUGGACACUUGGACCCCGAAAACCUCACCUCACCUCACCACCAGAGCACAAUUUCGUCUAUACGGGAUGGUCUGGAAUCUCCAAAAUCUCCAAUAGCAAAGUCUCCAUCCCAGAACUCUCUUCGUAAUGCUAGUCUCGUUGCCAAAAGGAAAAUGUUUGCUGAGUCCCAGGUUGGAAGUUCCAGUUUCCGUAAGCUUUUGGAGCCAAAGCCCACUCAGAGAUCUGCAAUUACUCCUUAUAGAAUUGUUCUUGGUAAUAUAAAAAGACAAGGUAUGUUUAUUUGCUUUGAAUAUGUCAAGCAAGUUGCUGUUAGCGGAUACAUAGCUAAGCUUGAUUGAUUUAUAUUUUUGUGAUGCUGGUUUGGGGUGGUACCACCCUUUUUCUGGAACAGCUUGUUUAUUCUGACAAUGUUUGCUUGUUUAGAACUCUAAUUGCUUUAGUUGUAAAAAACUUUGUCUUUGACAAGUGACAACUGAUUUAUGCAGAAUAAUUGAAAUAAAACUGAAUUGAUUGAUAUAUGUGCAUUUUCUUGUUAUCGUUGAUAUAAAUGGACACAUUCUCAUUAUCAACAUGCUCUUUUCAUACAGGUAUCAUCCUCAUUAAUAUAUGAACGGAACCACUUGUGAUCUUACAAAACAGCUUCGAGAUACUGAAAUAUGAAGCUAUGAACUUUAUUUAGUUUUCAUUUUUCUGUUCCCAUCCCUCUUCUCCUUACUCUAUAUGCAUUUUGCAGGUGAGAUUUGUAUGCUCAGAGCUGAGAGCUAUGAUUAGUUCAAUUACAGAGAUAUCCACCUGCAAGUAUGCAGUUGCAAUUAAAUGCCCCACACUUUGCAAGCAUCCAUUAUUCCAGUCAGAGAGACCGGUAUGGCAGACCAUUAAUUGUAAUGUACUUCCCAAGGAUUACAAGGAAACCCAAGUUGAGGAUGAAGAAUCUAAAAUUAAGCAGAUAGUUAUGGUCAUAGACAGUGAAUCUCAUUCCAAUGAUGAAUCUGAGAAAUAACAUUUUAUAAAUUCAGAAAAUUUUGUGAAUGCUAAUGAUAGGCAACCUCAUGUAAUCUUGUAUUCUUUUGCACCUUUCACAAGUCAUUGACUGUCCUCUAACAUUGUUGCCCUUAUAUUUCAAGAUGGAUAUCACAUCCUGAAUUGAUACUAGUAAAUCAGAAUGUUUAUACCAUGUUUAUACCGCAUUUACUCAAAAGCAGCAAAUAUGCUUUUUUAUAAUUCCAGAAAUGGUGAAAGGCGGGUUAGAUAAACUACAUGGCACCAAUAUUAGUCUUGGAACAGUAGGGAAAAUGCCGGAUCAAAGACAUUGAUCAUCCGGAACACCAUCACCAUAACUAGAUCCUUGACCUAUUGUUAUUAUACAUGUACAUGCAUGGUUGUUAAAGUCGCAAUUCUUAUUGGCAGAGUGAUAUUCACUUUGUUCCCGCUGAAUUCAGUAGAGCCAAGUACUCACUUAUGACUUCACCUUGUCUAGUAACUUCAAUAUCAUAGUCAGUGAAAGCAUCUCCUUGUGCUAGUUCUUCAGCAAGUUGGCUUUCCAUUUCUGAAUCACGCUCUGAUGCAUUACUAGACGUUGAAGGACCUCCAACUUGACCAUUUUGAUUAUCAAGCAUU
Molecule: long non-coding RNA, 1872 nt
Organism: Rosa chinensis
Lineage: Eukaryota; Viridiplantae; Streptophyta; Magnoliopsida; Rosales; Rosaceae
Exons: 3
Source: RefSeq, a predicted model, not a curated record